Molecule: ribosomal RNA, 238 nt
Filed under: uncultured bacterium
Lineage: Bacteria
Description: partial 16S ribosomal RNA
Rfam family: Bacterial small subunit ribosomal RNA
Source: RNAcentral
CGGCGGACGGGUGAGUAACGCGUGGGUAACCUGCCUCAUACAGGGGGAUAGCAGCUGGAAACGGCUGGUAAUACCGCAUAAGCGCACAGUACCACAUGGUACAGUGUGAAAAACUCCGGUGGUAUGAGAUGGACCCGCGUCUGAUUAGCUAGUUGGUGGGGUAACGGCCUACCAAGGCGACGAUCAGUAGCCGACCUGAGAGGGUGACCGGCCACAUUGGGACUGAGACACGGCCCAA